Molecule: ribosomal RNA, 1408 nt
Filed under: bacterium NLAE-zl-P269
Lineage: Bacteria
Description: bacterial SSU rRNA
Rfam family: Bacterial small subunit ribosomal RNA
Source: RNAcentral
GGCUACCAUGCAGUCGAGGGGCAGCAUUUCAGUUUGCUUGCAAACUGGAGAUGGCGACCGGCGCACGGGUGAGUAACACGUAUCCAACCUGCCGAUAACUCGGGGAUAGCCUUUCGAAAGAAAGAUUAAUACCCGAUGGNAUAAUCAGACCGCAUGGUCUUAUUAUUAAAGAAUUUCGGUUAUCGAUGGGGAUGCGUUCCAUUAGGCAGUUGGUGAGGUAACGGCUCACCAAACCUUCGAUGGAUAGGGGUUCUGAGAGGAAGGUCCCCCACAUUGGAACUGAGACACGGUCCAAACUCCUACGGGAGGCAGCAGUGAGGAAUAUUGGUCAAUGGGCGCAGGCCUGAACCAGCCAAGUAGCGUGAAGGAUGACUGCCCUAUGGGUUGUAAACUUCUUUUAUAUGGGAAUAAAGUUUUCCACGUGUGGAAUUUUGUAUGUACCAUAUGAAUAAGGAUCGGCUAACUCCGUGCCAGCAGCCGCGGUAAUACGGAGGAUCCGAGCGUUAUCCGGAUUUAUUGGGUUUAAAGGGAGCGUAGGUGGACAGUUAAGUCAGUUGUGAAAGUUUGCGGCUCAACCGUAAAAUUGCAGUUGAUACUGGCUGUCUUGAGUACAGUAGAGGUGGGCGGAAUUCGUGGUGUAGCGGUGAAAUGCUUAGAUAUCACGAAGAACUCCGAUUGCGAAGGCAGCUCACUGGACUGCAACUGACACUGAUGCUCGAAAGUGUGGGUAUCAAACAGGAUUAGAUACCCUGGUAGUCCACACAGUAAACGAUGAAUACUCGCUGUUUGCGAUAUACAGUAAGCGGCCAAGCGAAAGCAUUAAGUAUUCCACCUGGGGAGUACGCCGGCAACGGUGAAACUCAAAGGAAUUGACGGGGGCCCGCACAAGCGGAGGAACAUGUGGUUUAAUUCGAUGAUACGCGAGGAACCUUACCCGGGCUUAAAUUGCAUUUGAAUANUNUGGAAACAGNNUAGCCGNAAGGCAAAUGUGAAGGUGCUGCAUGGUUGUCGUCAGCUCGUGCCGUGAGGUGUCGGCUUAAGUGCCAUAACGAGCGCAACCCUUAUCUUUAGUUACUAACAGGUCAUGCUGAGGACUCUAGAGAGACUGCCGUCGUAAGAUGUGAGGAAGGUGGGGAUGACGUCAAAUCAGCACGGCCCUUACGUCCGGGGCUACACACGUGUUACAAUGGGGGGUACAGAAGGCAGCUACCUGGUGACAGGAUGCUAAUCCCAAAAGCCUCUCUCAGUUCGGAUCGAAGUCUGCAACCCGACUUCGUGAAGCUGGAUUCGCUAGUAAUCGCGCAUCAGCCAUGGCGCGGUGAAUACGUUCCCGGGCCUUGUACACACCGCCCGUCAAGCCAUGAAAGCCGGGGGUACCUGAAGUACGUAACCGCAAGGAGCUCCUAGG